This is a non-coding RNA of Macaca mulatta (Rhesus monkey), 3193 nucleotides long. Lineage: Eukaryota; Metazoa; Chordata; Mammalia; Primates; Cercopithecidae. The record is from RefSeq and is a predicted model, not a curated record.
CAGCCGUCGCUCUUGCACGCAACUUGGGGCCACCUGGCCUAGUGACUGCUGCUACGCGUCCUGGCCGAGGGGUAGCGGGACCGCAGGCGGCUGGAGUGGGGAAGGGUGACCGCCGCCGUCGUUUCUUCUCCGUGGGUGGCUACAGAGUGCCCUCAAGUAACCCGGAGGUUGAGGGCCCCCCAGUGCGCGGCUGCCGGGGGUCAGGACGCGGGACUCCCCUCUACCGCCAUGGUCUGGCAGUGUGGGGGAGCGCUCAGGGACAGAGAUGCGGCUGCAGAUGUGUGCUUUCUCCUUGCUCCCGACUGCUGACUUCAUUAUUCAAAUACGCAGCCGAAACCAUGGAUCUUGCAGGUGCAGCUUUUCUCUGUCUCUCUUAUGUGGAAAGCAGCACAGCGUGGACUCCAGCCAAACUCCCCGAGUUGGAUUGCAGCUCUCUGGCUCUCUAUCCCUGUGAACUGGGGCAGUUUACUGCUUCUAUGUCUCAGUUUCCUCAGCUGUGCAAAGGGGUUACUGAUCCUACUUAACGGGGUGGGUUGUUGUGAAGAGGAAAUGAGUUAACAUAAGUAGAGAAAGACACUGGUGCCUGGCAAGCACUGUGUGAGUGUUUUGGUGUUAUUAUUGCUGUUUUUAUUAGAGCUACAUGUAACGGAACGUUUAAUGAGCCUUUUCCUGUUACCCUGGAAUUAGUGAGUCAGGGCACAAAGGUGAGUACCCAGAGGCAUUCAGUAUCCCACACUGUAAAGGCAGCACAACAUAGCAGCACCCAGAACUUAUCGUUAGAGGGCUGAAGAGCCAGCCCUGUCAUUCUGAACUGCCACCACCCUACCCUCAGGCUUAACUGGGCAACAGGAGAGGGAUGGGGUGGGAGGAAGGGUAGGAGUUUCCCUAAGCAGCCUCCUGGGUGCAGAAAUAGGGAGGGUGCUGUGCUAUUACUAAAGCCAAUAAGGUGUAGCUCCAAGAGAGUUACCAUAAUGACUUCAGAUGCCUAAAAAGAGAGGCUGGCAUCUUCCCUGAUUGGAUGUCUGCUUGGACAGUGUGAGCUUGCUAGACUGCCCUUAUACUUGCCUUUGAAGAAAUCGAGAAAACUAAAAGAGAGACCUCUGGGCAGGGGUCUUCAGGGGCUUGCCUGUCAUUGCUUGUGCUGUCCAAUGCCAGACCCCAUCCACUAGGCCAGAGGCUGUGAAGCAAGCAGCAAUAGGGAGUAACACUGAUGGCAAAACUAGUUGGAGUUGGGAGUGAAGGAGGUUGAGCUAGAGCCCGUUUCCCAUAUCAGAACACUGUACACUGAGGAUACCCUGCAGAGCCUUUGGAAAAACUUACAUCAACUCCCCAUGAAAGAAAGUCAGUGGGGCUGGGUGCGGUGGCUCAUGCCUGUAAUCCCAACACUUUGGGAGGCUGAGGUGGGUGGAUCACGAGGUCAGGAGUUCGAGACCAGCCUGACCAACGUGGUAAAACCCCGUCUCUACUAAAAAUACAAAAAUUAGCCAGGCGUGGUGGCACUUGCCUGUAAUCCCAGCUACUCAGGAGGCUGAGGCAGGAGAAUCGUUUGAACCCGGGAGGAAGAGGUUGCAGUGAGCCGAGAUCAUGCCAUUGCACUCCAGCCUGGGUGACAGAGCGAGACUCCAUCUCAAAACAAGAAAGAAAGAAGAAAGUCACUGUACAGACUGGCCUCACAGAGAUCAAAAACAGCUAGUUGGAGAACUUAAGCUACUUGAGUUUAAGACUUUAGGGAGGAAUUAGAUCAUGAGGACUCCAACUUCAUGAAUAGAUUAGUACCCCUAUAAAAGGGCCCAAAGAAACCAGCUAGCCCUUUUAUGCCUUUCCAUCUCUUUCACCGUGAGUACACAGUGUUCAUAUCCUCGAGGGGACACAACAAGGCACCAUCUUGGAAGCAGAGAGUGGGCCCUCACUGGACACCAAACCUGCAGGUGCCUUGAUCUUGGACUUCCCAGCCUCUAUGACUCAAAUAUGCACUGGAAUUAGGAGUCUCACCCUUUGCUGGCCUCUGCAGCUACAGAGAUGAUUGGUCACAUUCUCAUGGGUGAAGGUAAGGGCAGAGGAGCGAGGGGCCGUGAACCCCCCACUGGAGCUGACUACCCACCUAGAUCCUGAUUCUGCCACUCUCAAGUCCUGCGAUGUGUCUCCAUGCCUUCCUUUCCACAGGGUCCAUGGAUGGCUGGGGCUGAGGGGUAGCAUUGUGUGUGUGCAUCCCUCGGAGCCGUGCCUGGCACUCAGGUACCAGGUGAUGGUACUGGUUGCUACCAUCAUUGUGACUUCACUGGCUGGGAACUAACACCAACAAAGACAGGGGUUCUUUUUAAAGAGCACAGUGUUCAUCUUGUGGACUGGGACCUGGUAUGGCCUCCUCGGUGGGGUCAAAUCUGGUGUUGCCUGUGGGGUUCCCUGGGCCUCCUAGAGCUGAUUUCAGGAGGCCUGCAGAGCCAGAGGCAAGAUGGGCCCAGGUGGGGCGUGUCACAUCAUUACAUUUUCUGCCUGUUACAGCAAGGGACAAGCCACCACCCUCCUGUGUCUGAAGCUUGCCCAGCCAGCAGGUCCAGCUCCAGUGCUGCGUCAUCUGAAAGCCUUCCCCACUAUCAUGGCCUGCCCCGGAUUCUCAUGGAGUUGUGAGAAAACCAGUCAGCCACUCAGCACAUCAGAGUAGUGUCACCUCUGGCUGGGGCUGUCCAGAACGCUGGAGUCCCACAGCCUCGCUUCCCACUAACAGCUGCCUCCCUCCUCAUCCCUGCCCACAUGGAUUCCAGGCACUGUGGAGUGGAGGAGCCCGUCCCAUGCUAGUGCAGGAUGUCUUGAGAGGGAGAAACGUCUCCACCGUGGGAAGGACAAUGAGUCUCUGGCACUGGGGCUUUGGCCUGAAUGGUCUGGAUCACCUUCACCCAGAAAACAGCCCUCCAGAGCCCAGGGAUCGGGGAAGCCACAUUCCCCCACAGCUCAGAGGGCACAGCUGUCACAUGCCCAUACCUCCCUCAGAAUCGGCCAUCCCCACUUGCAUGUUCCAGACCUCUGAAACAGUUGGCAGAAAUGGACAAGCUGAUUCUAAAAUUCAUUUGGAACUGCAAGGGACCAGAAGAACCAAAGCAAUCUUCAACAAGAACAAUGUUAGAAGAUUCACUUCUCCAUUUCAAAACUUACUACAAAACUAUAGUAAUCGGCGGGGUGCAGUGGCUCAUGCCUG